This is a long non-coding RNA of Maniola jurtina (meadow brown), 277 nucleotides long. RefSeq lists it as uncharacterized. NCBI's taxonomy places the organism in Eukaryota, Metazoa, Arthropoda, Insecta, Lepidoptera, Nymphalidae. The record is from RefSeq and is a predicted model, not a curated record. The transcript is spliced from 2 exons.
CUUGCAGCAUAAGGAUUGAAGAGUUGGGACUUGGAAUUCAAUAACAAAGUCUAUGCUCGGCAUUUACAAUAUUAUUUCACCAGGAACAGGUCCUGAAUCUCUAUGGUUUAGGAGUGCUGUACCUACCCUCCAUCAUCAGAAUUGAGGAGUUAGGACUUGAAGUCCAAGCAUGAAGUCGUUACUUGGUACCUACGAUAUUAGUUCACUAUGAACACUUCCUUUUCUGAUAACUUAGGCGGGCAGUAACCCUGCUGCAUCAGUAUUAAGGAGUUGGAUC